UGAGGAAUAUUGGUCAAUGGGCGAGAGCCUGAACCAGCCAAGUAGCGUGCAGGAUGACGGCCCUAUGGGUUGUAAACUGCUUUUAUAAGGGAAUAAAGUGAGUCUCGUGAGACUUUUUGCAUGUACCUUAUGAAUAAGGACCGGCUAAUUCCGUGCCAGCAGCCGCGGUAAUACGGAAGGUCCGGGCGUUAUCCGGAUUUAUUGGGUUUAAAGGGAGCGUAGGCCGGAGAUUAAGCGUGUUGUGAAAUGUAGACGCUCAACGUCUGCACUGCAGCGCGAACUGGUUUCCUUGAGUACGCACAAAGUGGGCGGAAUUCGUGGUGUAGCGGUGAAAUGCUUAGAUAUCACGAAGAACUCCGAUUGCGAAGGCAGCUCACUGGAGCGCAACUGACGCUGAAGCUCGAAAGUGCGGGUAUCGAACAGGAUUAGAUACCCUGGUAGUCCGCACGGUAAACGAUGGAUGCCCGCUGUUGGCCUGAAUAGGUCAGCGGCCAAGCGAAAGCAUUAAGCAUCCCACCUGGGGAGUACGCCGGCAACGGUGAAACUCAAAGGAAUUGACGGGGGCCCGCACAAGCGGAGGAACAUGUGGUUUAAUUCGAUGAUACGCGAGGAACCUUACCCGGGCUUGAAUUGCAGAGGAAGGAUUUGGAGACAAUGACGCCCUUCGGGGCCUCUGUGAAGGUGCUGCAUGGUUGUCGUCAGCUCGUGCCGUGAGGUGUCGGCUUAAGUGCCAUAACGAGCGCAACCCCUCUCCUUAGUUGCCAUCAGGUCAUGCUGGGCACUCUGGGGACACUGCCACCGUAAGGUGUGAGGAAGGUGGGGAUGACGUCAAAUCAGCACGGCCCUUACGUCCGGGGCUACACACGUGUUACAAUGGCAGGUACAGAGAGACGGUCCCUUGCAAAAUGGAUCAAAUCCUUAAAGCCUGUCUCAGUUCGGACUGGGGUCUGCAACCCGACCCCACGAAGCUGGAUUCGCUAGUAAUCGCGCAUCAGCCAUGGCGCGGUGAAUACGUUCCC
RNAcentral lists this ribosomal RNA (1019 nucleotides) under uncultured bacterium. Its description in RNAcentral is "bacterial SSU rRNA". It matches the Rfam family "Bacterial small subunit ribosomal RNA", at positions 355 to 1375 of the family's 1533-position model. The record is from RNAcentral.